RNAcentral lists this ribosomal RNA (854 nucleotides) under Hygromia cinctella. RNAcentral describes it as "partial 16S ribosomal RNA". The record is from RNAcentral. Lineage: Eukaryota; Metazoa; Mollusca; Gastropoda; Stylommatophora; Hygromiidae.
AAUUAUUAAAAGAUCCUAAAAUUAAAAUUCACGAAGAGAGAAGAGCUAAAAAUUUAAAUUAUGUUAGGAUAUUAAAAUAAUUGUUGCAAGAAUUAUGGGAUAUAUAUUUUUAGGGGUGAUAGGCCAAACAAUUCUUUCGAUAUCUUGUUAUUACUUAAAAAUAUUUAGUAUUUUUACAGACUAAAAAUGGUUAGGUUUUUAGUAUAUAUUAUAUAUAAUUAUAAAAUUAUACAAAUUGUAUAAAUACACUUGAAACUAAUAGUAAAAUAUUAAUUAUAAAACUAUAUGUAUAGUAAGUAAAAAAGGUAUAAAAUUUAAAAAACCUUAGAUAAUGUAAUUAUUAGUAUUUUAUAAACAAUUACUUAAGGAACUCGGCAAAAAUUAAUACUCCACUGUUUAUCAAAAACACUCCCUUUGAGUAAUAUAAAGGGUUAGCCCUGCUCAAUGAAAAAUUAAAUAGCCGCAGUACCUUGACUGUGCAAAGGUAGCAUAAUCAGUUGGCUCUUGAUUGGAGUCUUGUAUGAAAGGGUCUAGGGGUAUCUUCUGUCUCAAUUAUGUUUUCAGAAAUUACUCAAUAGAUGCAAAUAUCUAUAUUAUAUAAAGUAGACGAGAAGACCCUAGAAAUUUUUUAUAUUUAUACUAAUUCUAUUUUGUUGGGGCGACAUAGUAACAAGUAACUUACUUAUUAAAUGUAACACUAUUGUGAAUAAUAAAUUAAAUUACUCUAGGGAUAACAGCAUAAUCCUUUUGGGUUUGUGACCUCGAUGUUGGACUAGGGAAACUAUUCUUUAGAAGAAAAUAGUGUAUGUUCUGUUCGAACAAAUAUUCUCCUACAUGAUCUGAGUUCAGACCGG